GGGCGGCCGGCGCCCCUCUCCGCGGACCGAGCUCCCCGCUGCGAGGGCCCGCGUGAAGCUGCGGGCAACCGGGCGGGCCUGGCACUGAGCUGGGGUCGGGGUUUUGAGAGCGGGCCAAGUUGCCAGGCGAGUGGAACAGCGACUGACAGGGGACACGGCAAGGAGCGGGGAGCACGGGGGCGCCACGGCGGAAGGCGGGCGCAUGGGAGGCUCUUCAAUGUCACCAGCGAAAUGGGUUCCAUAUGUCCGCCCGGAAAGAUGGGAGGGGAACGGAGGGUUCUGGGCAGGAACCAGCGGGAGGGUGAGGCGCGGGGUGCGCAAUGGAGGGAGCCGAGUAGUGACCAGGGGUAAUGGCAGGGAUGGGAGAGGCCAGAAAGGUUUGCAUUUUCCAUUGGCCCUGGAGUUUUCUAAAGCUGCUUAGGCUGGUAGGAACUUUCCCCUUUUCCUUUUGCCUUUUUUUUUCCUGAAAGGUGGGAGAGGGAGGAGAUUAGUGAGGGUAGCAUGUUUGUUCAGGCUGGGGGUUCAGGGAAGAGAUGUGGAUUGGAGGUGAAAGGGAAAGUUCUUAGGCGGCUGGAAGAUCAAGUUCUCCCUGUCCCUAAAGAGGGAAAGAAGAGACCAAACCCCAGAGGGAGCAGAGGCCAAGGAAGGAUUCCAAGGUUCAGGCUCUAUCUGCCUUCAGAGUUGGUUCUUUACCCCGGGCUGAAGUUGGAGCCGCCAAACUGCUGGAGGGGAACAGCUGAAAAAUGAAGCUCUGUCUGCUGCUGCAGGAAUGUUGGCUGUAUCAGGCUCACAAAUAUAAUUUUUAUAUUA
This is a long non-coding RNA of Manis pentadactyla (Chinese pangolin), 810 nucleotides long. RefSeq lists it as uncharacterized. The record is from RefSeq and is a predicted model, not a curated record. NCBI's taxonomy places the organism in Eukaryota, Metazoa, Chordata, Mammalia, Pholidota, Manidae. The transcript has 2 exons.